AUUGAACGCUGGCGGCAUGCCUUACACAUGCAAGUCGAACGGCAGCACGGGUGCUUGCACCUGGUGGCGAGUGGCGAACGGGUGAGUAAUACAUCGGAACAUGUCCUGUAGUGGGGGAUAGCCCGGCGAAAGCCGGAUUAAUACCGCAUACGAUCUACGGAUGAAAGCGGGGGACCUUCGGGCCUCGCGCUAUAGGGUUGGCCGAUGGCUGAUUAGCUAGUUGGUGGGGUAAAGGCCUACCAAGGCGACGAUCAGUAGCUGGUCUGAGAGGACGACCAGCCCCCUUGGGCCUGGACACGGGCCCGGCCCCCUCGGGGGGGCCGCGGUGGGAAUUUUUGGAAAAGGGGCGAAACCCUGUCCCAGAAAUCCCGGGGGGUGGAAGAAGGCCUUCGGGUUUUAAAGCCCUUUUUUCCGGAAAGAAAUCCUUGGCCCUAAUCCGGCCGGGGGUUGCCGGUACCGGAAAAAUAAGCCCCGGCUACCUCCGU
Molecule: ribosomal RNA, 485 nt
Filed under: uncultured bacterium
Lineage: Bacteria
Description: partial 16S ribosomal RNA
Rfam family: Bacterial small subunit ribosomal RNA
Source: RNAcentral